Molecule: ribosomal RNA, 776 nt
Filed under: uncultured Enterococcus sp.
Lineage: Bacteria; Bacillati; Bacillota; Bacilli; Lactobacillales; Enterococcaceae
Description: bacterial SSU rRNA
Rfam family: Bacterial small subunit ribosomal RNA
Source: RNAcentral
GACGAACGCUGGCGGCGUGCCUAAUACAUGCAAGUCGAACGCUUUUUCUUUCACCGAGACUUGUCUCACCGAAAGAAAAAGAGUGGCGAACGGGUGAGUAACACGUGGGUAACCUGCCCUCGAGAAGGGGAUAACACUUGGAAACAGGUGCUAAUACCGUAUAACAAUAACUGCCGCAUGGCAGGUAUUUGAAAGGCGCUUUUGCGUCACUCGAGGAUGGACCCGCGGUGCAUUAGCUAGUUGGUGAGGUAACGGCUCACCAAGGCGAUGAUGCAUAGCCGACCUGAGAGGGUGAUCGGCCACACUGGGACUGAGACACGGCCCAGACUCCUACGGGAGGCAGCAGUAGGGAAUCUUCGGCAAUGGACGAAAGUCUGACCGAGCAACGCCGCGUGAGUGAAGAAGGUUUUCGGAUCGUAAAACUCUGUUGUUAGAGAAGAACAAGGAUGAGAGUAGAACGUUCAUCCCUUGACGGUAUCUAACCAGAAAGCCACGGCUAACUACGUGCCAGCAGCCGCGGUAAUACGUAGGUGGCAAGCGUUGUCCGGAUUUAUUGGGCGUAAAGCGAGCGCAGGCGGUUCUUUAAGUCUGAUGUGAAAGCCCCCGGCUCAACCGGGGAGGGUCAUUGGAAACUGGAGAACUUGAGUGCAGAAGAGGAGAGUGGAAUUCCAUGUGUAGCGGUGAAAUGCGUAGAUAUAUGGAGGAACACCAGUGGCGAAGGCGGCUCUCUGGUCUGUAACUGACGCUGAGGCUCGAAAGCGUGGGGAGCAAACAGG